Molecule: ribosomal RNA, 308 nt
Filed under: uncultured bacterium
Lineage: Bacteria
Description: bacterial SSU rRNA
Rfam family: Bacterial small subunit ribosomal RNA
Source: RNAcentral
AUUGAACGCUGGCGGCAUGCUUUACACAUGCAAGUCGAACGGCAGCACAGGGAGCUUGCUCCCGGGUGGCGAGUGGCGAACGGGUGAGUAAUACAUCGGAACGUGUCCUUUUGUGGGGGAUAACUACUCGAAAGAGUAGCUAAUACCGCAUAAUACCUGAGGGUGAAAGCGGGGGACUUUAGGGCCUCGCGCAGUUGGAGCGGCCGAUGACUGAUUAGCUAGUUGGUGGGGUAAAGGCCUACCAAGGCGACGAUCAGUAGCUGGUCUGAGAGGACGACCAGCCACAUUGGGACUGAGACACGGCCCAA